RNAcentral lists this ribosomal RNA (274 nucleotides) under uncultured prokaryote. RNAcentral describes it as "partial 16S ribosomal RNA". It matches the Rfam family "Bacterial small subunit ribosomal RNA", at positions 524 to 798 of the family's 1533-position model. The record is from RNAcentral.
UACGUAGGUGGCGAGCGUUGUCCGGAUUUACUGGGCGUAAAGGGUGCGUAGGUGGUUUCUUAAGUCAGAGGUGAAAGGCUACGGCUCAACCGUAGUAAGCUUUUGGAACUGUAAGACUUGAGUGCAGGAGAGAAGAGUGGAAUUCCUAGUGUAGCGGUGAAAUGCGUAGAUAUUAGGAGGAACACCAGUAGCGAAGGCGGCUCUCUGGACUGUAACUGACGCUGAGGCACGAAAGCGUGGGGAGCAAACAGGAUUAGAUACCCCUGUAGUCCCU